CAGCAGCCGCGGGAAUACGAAGGGGGCUAGCGUUGUUCGGAUUACUGGGCGUAAAGCGCACGUAGGCGGAUCGAUCAGUCAGGGGUGAAAUCCCAGAGCUCAACUCUGGAACUGCCUUUGAUACUGUCGAUCUGGAGUAUGGAAGAGGUGAGUGGAAUUCCGAGUGUAGAGGUGAAAUUCGUAGAUAUUCGGAGGAACACCAGUGGCGAAGGCGGCUCACUGGUCCAUUACUGACGCUGAGGUGCGAAAGCGUGGGGAGCAAACAGGAUUAGAUACCCCAGUAGUCCCUGUCUCUUAUACA
Molecule: ribosomal RNA, 301 nt
Filed under: uncultured bacterium
Lineage: Bacteria
Description: partial 16S ribosomal RNA
Rfam family: Bacterial small subunit ribosomal RNA
Source: RNAcentral